Molecule: RNA transcript, 3202 nt
Organism: Peromyscus californicus insignis
Lineage: Eukaryota; Metazoa; Chordata; Mammalia; Rodentia; Cricetidae
Gene: Snrpa
Gene name: small nuclear ribonucleoprotein polypeptide A
Exons: 8
Source: RefSeq, a predicted model, not a curated record
GGAUUGUCACUAAGGCGGGAACCCAAGUGUUCCUUUCAUUGGCAGGCGCUGAGGCCGGGGAAGCGACUUACUCCAAAGAGUCAACCUACCGAGUUUGCGCGCGGUGAGCGUCUCGCGGAGGAGGCAGCUGGGUGUCUGAGCCGAGUAGCCUGGCAGGCGCGGUGGCUCAGCUGUCCCUGAGCAUCUCACACCAUGGCAGUUCCUGAAACCCGUCCCAACCACACUAUUUAUAUCAACAAUCUCAAUGAGAAGAUCAAGAAGGAUGAGCUCAAGAAGUCCCUGUAUGCCAUCUUCUCCCAGUUUGGCCAGAUCCUGGAUAUCCUGGUGUCUCGGAGCCUGAAGAUGAGGGGCCAGGCCUUUGUCAUCUUCAAGGAGGUCAGCAGCGCCACUAAUGCCCUGCGUUCCAUGCAAGGUUUCCCCUUCUACGACAAGCCCAUGCGCAUCCAGUACGCCAAGACUGACUCAGACAUCAUUGCCAAGAUGAAGGGUACCUUUGUGGAGAGAGACCGCAAACGAGAGAAGAGGAAGCCCAAGAGUCAGGAGACACCAGCUGCCAAAAAGGCUGUUCAGGGUGGGGCUGCUGCCCCCGUGGUGGGCGCUGUCCAGCCUGUUCCGGGUAUGCCACCGAUGACUCAGGCACCCCGCAUUAUGCACCACAUGCCAGGCCAGCCUCCUUACAUGCCACCACCUGGCAUGAUCCCGCCACCGGGCCUUGCUCCUGGCCAGAUCCCCCCUGGGGCCAUGCCCCCACAGCAGCUCAUGCCUGGACAGAUGCCGCCUGCCCAGCCUCUCUCCGAGAAUCCACCCAAUCACAUUCUGUUCCUCACCAACCUGCCUGAGGAGACCAACGAGCUCAUGCUGUCCAUGCUUUUCAAUCAGUUCCCUGGCUUCAAGGAGGUGCGUCUGGUUCCCGGGCGGCACGACAUCGCCUUUGUGGAGUUUGACAAUGAAGUGCAGGCUGGGGCAGCACGAGAUGCCCUGCAAGGCUUUAAGAUCACGCAGAACAAUGCCAUGAAGAUCUCGUUUGCCAAGAAGUAGCGCCUUCCCCCAUGGGGCAUCUCAGUCCCCAUUCCGGGGCUGCCCUUUCCCUCCCCCUUGGCUCAGUCCCUGAAGAGUUGGGAUCUCGUGGCCUCUGUGAGUUCACAAACUUGGAAAACACACAGGAGUAUAACAGUAUUAACCACACUUAAGGUACAUUGACAGCUUUGGCAAGGUAUUUUUUUGUUGUUUGUUUGUUUGUUUGUUUUGUCUCAAAUCAUUGAGGUCAGAAACAAGACCCCCAUGUACAUUUGGGCAAGUUGUACACGACACAAGGAUACUCCUGCUUUGGAAGGGCACAUUAAAAGCCUGCUUCUUACUUCUGCUCCUGCUUUUGCACUCUAUUAAAGAGGAAAAGCUCAGUGAAGACUGUCCCCAUGGCAUUUGAAGGAGGACAAAGCUGGUCCUUGCAUCACUUAGGGACUCCCAUGUUACUGCAGAAGGUCGAGUGGAAACAUCUCUCCCUCCACAUUGGCCUAGUGGCUGUGACAUGUGGGUUCAGCCUAUCUAGUUUGCAGUUUGGGACUUCCCUAGCUGUCACUCAGUGGGCAGUUAGUGUCCCCACUGUGAGCUUUGUUUUCUUCCUUUGUGAAAAGGACUCCUGUUACUGCCAUCAUCAAUAGUGAUCCUAUUUGUUCCUACAAACACCACCAGGCUCUUAGCCAGCAAUCAGAAGACUCAGCUGAAUAAAACUUGGAAGUGAAAAUCAAAGCUGCUAGACAGCCUGUGGUCCUAGUACCCAGAAGGCUGAGAUGGGGGAUUGCCCUGAGUUCCCUGGCAGCCUGAGCUGCUGUGGUGGGGGCUGUAGAACAGUUAGGAUGAUGGGGGAAAGCUCCUCUGAGGAGGCAUGUUAGGGUGGAGCUGUUAGUGGUGCUGGGUAUGUAGAGGUGUUCAGUUCCAUCUCUGCCCCUGAUAAACUCCCUGACUCUAAGCCAGAGUGUGAUUAUUCUCUGCCUGCCAUGAGGUUGUGCCUGGCCAGCUCAGAGGUCAAGGUACACUGAGUCACUUGCUCUGAUCUUGACCAGUGACUGAACUCUGGAGCCAAGGCAGAAAAUGGAAAUCAAAGCACAGCAGUGUCGAGUUGCCAGUAAGGCCCGAAGCUGAGGUGGUCCUUAGACCAAGCACCCGGAGCCAUUGGAGUAGUGGUCUGCAUUUCUGGAGGCAGUGCAGAGAUCCUGAGGUGGCAAGGGGGGGUUCCACCUCACUGGCAAGUGCAGUGUGCUCCUGAGUGUGGUGAGAUAGAGGGAGAGGAGUACAGGGUGUGCAGUGAAGCAGCUGUGGUCACAUGGGUUUUGUUUGAAGUUUGUGUGUGGUUAGGUUAGUCUCGGUCCUCUGACAUGACUGUGGGGUCUGUACUUUGUAAAUCUGCUUGUGUGUUUGAACUGGUGACCUGCUUCAGAAGCAAAUCCUCUGCCCUAAGCAGAGCAUAUCUAUCUGAAUCCAUAUUUUAAGAGUCCAACAGGACUUUUCCCCGUCCUUUCAUUUUUUAAGAUGGGGCUGAGGUGGGGUCUCAGGCCACACACCUAACCCCAAUUCACUAUUGUAGCCUGCACCUUCCCAGUGUUUAUAAGUAUCUCCCAUCACAUCUAGCCUCUUCAACUCAACUGAGCAUUGAUCACAUAACAGCUAUAACUUUGAGGUGUGAUGGUAAAACUAGCAACUUUUCUUUUUCACAAUUUCACAGAAUCUGAUAUUUCCAUAGACUUUUUUUUUUUUUUUUUUUUUUUUUUGAGACAGAGUUUCUCUGUGUAGCCCUGGCUGUAUUGGAACUCGCUCUGUAGACCAGGCUGGCCUUGAACUCACAGUGAUCCACCUUCCUCUGCCUCCUGAGUACUGGGAUCAAAGGCGUGCACCACCACCGCCUGGCUUUCCUUUACUAAAUCCUUUUACCUCAUUCCUUGUUGAAAGCAUGAAACUUUUUGGCUAAUGCCCCCCUCUCCCUGGGAAGAGUGGAGAGAUGACUCAGCAGUUAAGAUCACUUUCUGCUCUUUCAAAGGACCCAAGUUUGAUCCCAGCACCAAUAUCACUUCAUAAUCUCCUGUAACUCUAGUCCCAGGGGAUCUGAUGCCCUCUUCUGGCUUCCAUAGGCAACUGCACUCAUGUGCACAUAUACCACCCCUUACAUACACAUAAAUAAAAUUUUAAAUAAAAUGUUUUUUCCUGG